RNAcentral lists this ribosomal RNA (576 nucleotides) under uncultured bacterium. Its description in RNAcentral is "partial 16S ribosomal RNA". It matches the Rfam family "Bacterial small subunit ribosomal RNA", at positions 355 to 932 of the family's 1533-position model. The record is from RNAcentral.
UGGGGAAUUUUGGACAAUGGGCGAAAGCCUGAUCCAGCAAUGCCGCGUGUGUGAAGAAGGCCUUCGGGUUGUAAAGCACUUUUGUCCGGAAAGAAAUCCUUGGCUCUAAUACAGUCGGGGGAUGACGGUACCGGAAGAAUAAGCACCGGCUAACUACGUGCCAGCAGCCGCGGUAAUACGUAGGGUGCAAGCGUUAAUCGGAAUUACUGGGCGUAAAGCGUGCGCAGGCGGUUUGCUAAGACCGAUGUGAAAUCCCCGGGCUCAACCUGGGAACUGCAUUGGUGACUGGCAGGCUAGAGUAUGGCAGAGGGGGUAGAAUUCCACGUGUAGCAGUGAAAUGCGUAGAGAUGUGGAGGAAUACCGAUGGCGAAGGCAGCCCCCUGGGCCAAUACUGACGCUCAUGCACGAAAGCGUGGGGAGCAAACAGGAUUAGAUACCCUGGUAGUCCACGCCCUAAACGAUGUCAACUAGUUGUUGGGAUUCAUUCCUUAGUAACGUAGCUAACGCGUGAAGUUGACCGCCUGGGGAGUACGGUCGCAAGAUUAAAACUCAAAGGAAUUGACGGGGUCAUAGCUG